GACCAAACAGCUGAUGUCAUUUGGAGC
Molecule: non-coding RNA, 27 nt
Filed under: Rattus norvegicus (Norway rat)
Lineage: Eukaryota; Metazoa; Chordata; Mammalia; Rodentia; Muridae
Source: RNAcentral